AGAGAUGUGUGAUGACGCAUAUCAAUAAGCGGAGGAAAAGAAACUAACAAGGAUUCCCUUAGUAACGGCGAGUGAAGCGGGAAGAGCUCAAAUUUGAAAUCUUCAAGGUUCUACCUUGACGAAUUGUAGUUUAAUAGAAGUGUUUUCUGUUAGUGGAGUGGCAAAAGUUCUUUGGAAUAGGACAUCAUAGAGGGUGAGAAUCCCGUAUUUGGUACCAUUACCUUCCUAGCUGUUGUGAUACACUUUCAACGAGUCGGAUUGUUUGGGAAUGCAGUCCAAAAUGGGUGGUAAAUUUCAUCUAAAGCUAAAUAUUGGCGAGAGACCGAUAGCGAACAAGUACCGUGAGGGAAAGAUGAAAAGAACUUUGAAAAGAGAGUUAAACAGUACGUGAAAUUGUCAAAAGGGAAGCGUUUGACACCAGUGUUGUUUUUCCGAAAAUCGAUUACGAAUGUUUUAUUUUUGAGGAGUUAUGACUUCAUCGGCUUGCUCCUUUCUUUACGAAACUUUCUUAAUGCACUUUUCGGUUAACAAGUCAACAUCAAUUUCUUUUGUUGUAAAAGGGUACGAGGAAGGUGGCUUUCUUUUCGGAGAAAGUGUUUAUAGCCUUGUACCUCUGCAAUCGGAGAGAUUGAGGUCUGCAGCGUAGAUCCUUCGGGAUUAGAUACAUUUGUGCUAAGUUAUAGCUUUUCAUAGACAACUUGUUGACUAUGUUUAGUCUUGUAGCUUACUCGCUUAUGCUAUUUUACCUACGCUUAGGAUGUUGAAGUCAUCGUAUCGCGC
This 780-nucleotide ribosomal RNA is filed under the name uncultured Neocallimastigales. Its description in RNAcentral is "partial large subunit ribosomal RNA". It matches the Rfam family "Eukaryotic large subunit ribosomal RNA", at positions 23 to 645 of the family's 3401-position model. Lineage: Eukaryota; Fungi; Neocallimastigomycota; Neocallimastigomycetes; Neocallimastigales. The record is from RNAcentral.